GGAUAUGAGGGUGAUCUGACUAUGACAUCUGUCACCCCAUUAUUGCCAGGGUUGAUUGGGCCGAUCUGCCAGGCCAGGGGGUGUCUCCUUCCUCCCUCUCCUCUCCAUGUGCGUCCCUCCUGAAGCUGCACACUAGGUUGAAAAGGAAGAUGUGCUCUGAAUAGAAGAGGACUGGUCUUCAGUCAAGGGUAGGUAAGUAGGUGCACUCCCCUGCUAGAACCUCCAAACGAGCUCUCAAACCAGCACAGAAGGCAGUCCUUCGGGGCUAUACCUUGUUCAGGGACCCUUCAUGACUGGCUCUGCUCUACCGUCCUUCCAU
Molecule: small nuclear RNA, 319 nt
Filed under: Jaculus jaculus (lesser Egyptian jerboa)
Lineage: Eukaryota; Metazoa; Chordata; Mammalia; Rodentia; Dipodidae
Description: 7SK RNA (ENSJJAG00000002230.1)
Rfam family: 7SK RNA
About the family: 7SK was discovered as an abundant small nuclear RNA in the mid-70s but a possible function has only recently been suggested. Two independent studies have found that 7SK RNA binds the CDK9/cyclin T complex (known as elongation factor P-TEFb).
Source: Rfam by way of RNAcentral